This 270-nucleotide ribosomal RNA is filed under the name uncultured archaeon. Its description in RNAcentral is "partial 16S ribosomal RNA". It matches the Rfam family "Archaeal small subunit ribosomal RNA", at positions 477 to 747 of the family's 1478-position model. The record is from RNAcentral.
CAGCACCUCAAGUGGUCAGGAUGAUUAUUGGGCCUAAAGCAUCCGUAGCCUGUUUUGUAAGUUUCCGGUUAAAUCCAUUAGCUCAACUAAUGGGCUGCCGAAAAUACUGCAAAACUAGGGAGUGGGAGAGGUAGACGGUACUCGGUAGGACGGGGUAAAAUCCUUUGAUCUAUUGAUGACCACCUGUGGCGAAGGCGGUCUACCAGAACACGUUCGACGGUGAGGGAUGAAAGCUGGGGGAGCAAACCGGAUUAGAGACCCGCGUAGUCC